UACGUAGGGUGCGAGCGUUAAUCGGAAUUACUGGGCGUAAAGCGUGCGCAGGCGGUUUGAUAAGCCAGAUGUGAAAUCCCCGAGCUCAACUUGGGAACUGCGUUUGGAACUGUCAGACUAGAGUGCGUCAGAGGGGGGUGGAAUUCCACGUGUAGCAGUGAAAUGCGUAGAGAUGUGGAGGAACACCAAUGGCGAAGGCAGCCCCCUGGGCCAAUACUGACGCUCAUGCACGAAAGCGUGGGUAGCAAACAGGAUUAGAUACCCCCGUAGUCC
RNAcentral lists this ribosomal RNA (273 nucleotides) under uncultured Vibrio sp. RNAcentral's name for it is "partial 16S ribosomal RNA". It matches the Rfam family "Bacterial small subunit ribosomal RNA", at positions 524 to 796 of the family's 1533-position model. Lineage: Bacteria; Pseudomonadati; Pseudomonadota; Gammaproteobacteria; Vibrionales; Vibrionaceae. The record is from RNAcentral.